Molecule: ribosomal RNA, 264 nt
Filed under: uncultured Planctomycetota bacterium
Lineage: Bacteria; Pseudomonadati; Planctomycetota
Description: uncultured planctomycete partial 16S ribosomal RNA
Rfam family: Bacterial small subunit ribosomal RNA
Source: RNAcentral
AGCACGUAGGUGGGUUUGUAAGUCAGACGUGAAAGCCUUCUGCUCAACGGAAGAAUUGCAUCUGAAACUACAAACCUUGAGUGUAGGAGGGGAGAAUGGAACUUCUGGUGGAGCGGUGAAAUGCGUAGAUAUCAGAAGGAACGCCGGCGGCAAAAGCGAUUCUCUGGCCUAUUACUGACACUCAGUGUGCGAAAGCUAGGGGAGCAAACGGGAUUAGAUACCCCGGUAGUCCUAGCCGUAAACGAUGGGCACUAAGUAGAGGGG